Long non-coding RNA from Molossus molossus (Pallas's mastiff bat), 719 nucleotides. RefSeq lists it as uncharacterized. The record is from RefSeq and is a predicted model, not a curated record. Lineage: Eukaryota; Metazoa; Chordata; Mammalia; Chiroptera; Molossidae. The transcript has 4 exons.
UCUGAAGGGGGCAGAUUUAAACUUCCCAAGGCAGGAAGGACCUCCUUUUUCUGGUGACAAAGGACCCUUGGUGGAGGACAGGCAGAGCCAGGACUCAGAUUCAACCCCAGAGAGGCCUCCAGGCAUCUCAGGGCCUGCAGCAGCCAGGGAGCUGGCACGGACCCAGCGCCCUGUGUUUGGGAGUGGGAGAACCAGGCUGAAUAGAAGUCUGUCCAGAUGGGUAAACAUGGAGCGGACCUCCUGGGGGAGCCUGCUGAAUGAGAUGUCCACAGAUUUCUGAAUGACCAAGUGACAUAUCACAGAAUCAACCCACAACGUACAUUGGAUCUGAGGGUUGACAUUUCUCUCGGGACCCUCCCUACCAUGCCCUCUCUCAGAGUCCUCACAGCCACUCAGUGAUGCAGGGCCUGUGAUUAUCUCCAUUUUAUAUACAAGAAGACUGAGGCUUAGAGGAAUGAAAUCGUUUCCCCAAGGACACGCAGCUGUUAUUUCCACUGUUUCUGACUCUCGAUUUGAAUGUUUCUUACACUGACAGUUUGGCAAUCAGCUCUCCUGAAUCCCAGCCCCAUGAUAUUUCCACGAAGCCAUGCUGACCCACCAAGGCUGCCUGAGGAUGGAACACCUUGGCUGUUUUGGCUCAGCGGUUGGAGUGUCAGCUUGCGGAGCAGAGAGUCCGGGGUUCAGUUCCUGCUAGGGGCACGUAUCAAAAAAAUAAAAUA